CAGAGAGCUUGCUCUCGGGUGACGAGCGGCGGACGGGUGAGUAAUGUCUGGGAAACUGCCUGAUGGAGGGGGAUAACUACUGGAAACGGUAGCUAAUACCGCAUAACGUCGCAAGACCAAAGUGGGGGACCUUCGGGCCUCAUGCCAUCAGAUGUGCCCAGAUGGGAUUAGCUAGUAGGUGGGGUAAUGGCUCACCUAGGCGACGAUCCCUAGCUGGUCUGAGAGGAUGACCAGCCACACUGGAACUGAGACACGGUCCAGACUCCUACGGGAGGCAGCAGUGGGGAAUAUUGCACAAUGGGCGCAAGCCUGAUGCAGCCAUGCCGCGUGUGUGAAGAAGGCCUUCGGGUUGUAAAGCACUUUCAGCGGGGAGGAAGGCGAUAAGGUUAAUAACCUUGUCGAUUGACGUUACCCGCAGAAGAAGCACCGGCUAACUCCGUGCCAGCAGCCGCGGUAAUACGGAGGGUGCAAGCGUUAAUCGGAAUUACUGGGCGUAAAGCGCACGCAGGCGGUCUGUCAAGUCGGAUGUGAAAUCCCCGGGCUCAACCUGGGAACUGCAUUCGAAACUGGCAGGCUAGAGUCUUGUAGAGGGGGGUAGAAUUCCAGGUGUAGCGGUGAAAUGCGUAGAGAUCUGGAGGAAUACCGGUGGCGAAGGCGGCCCCCUGGACAAAGACUGACGCUCAGGUGCGAAAGCGUGGGGAGCAAACAGGAUUAGAUACCCUGGUAGUCCACGCCGUAAACGAUGUCGAUUUGGAGGUUGUGCCCUUGAGGCGUGGCUUCCGGAGCUAACGCGUUAAAUCGACCGCCUGGGGAGUACGGCCGCAAGGUUAAAACUCAAAUGAAUUGACGGGGGCCCGCACAAGCGGUGGAGCAUGUGGUUUAAUUCGAUGCAACGCGAAGAACCUUACCUGGUCUUGACAUCCACAGAACUUUCCAGAGAUGGAUUGGUGCCUUCGGGAACUGUGAGACAGGUGCUGCAUGGCUGUCGUCAGCUCGUGUUGUGAAAUGUUGGGUUAAGUCCCGCAACGAGCGCAACCCUUAUCCUUUGUUGCCAGCGGUUAGGCCGGGAACUCAAAGGAGACUGCCAGUGAUAAACUGGAGGAAGGUGGGGAUGACGUCAAGUCAUCAUGGCCCUUACGACCAGGGCUACACACGUGCUACAAUGGCAUAUACAAAGAGAAGCGACCUCGCGAGAGCAAGCGGACCUCAUAAAGUAUGUCGUAGUCCGGAUUGGAGUCUGCAACUCGACUCCAUGAAGUCGGAAUCGCUAGUAAUCGUAGAUCAGAAUGCUACGGUGAAUACGUUCCCGGGCCUUGUACACACCGCCCGUCACACCAUGGGAGUGGGUGCAAAAGAAGUAGGUAGCUAAC
Molecule: ribosomal RNA, 1370 nt
Filed under: Klebsiella sp. 87A.3
Lineage: Bacteria; Pseudomonadati; Pseudomonadota; Gammaproteobacteria; Enterobacterales; Enterobacteriaceae
Description: bacterial SSU rRNA
Rfam family: Bacterial small subunit ribosomal RNA
Source: RNAcentral